GCCAGACUCCUACGGGAGGCAGCAGUGGGGAAUAUUGGGCAAUGGGCGCAAGCCUGACCCAGCAACGCCGCGUGAAGGAAGAAGGCUUUCGGGUUGUAAACUUCUUUUAUUCGGGACGAAGCAAGUGACGGUACCGAAUGAAUAAGCCACGGCUAACUACGUGCCAGCAGCCGCGGUAAUACGUAGGUGGCGAGCGUUAUCCGGAUUUACUGGGUGUAAAGGGCGUGUAGGCGGGAGUGCAAGUCAGAUGUGAAAACUAUGGGCUCAACCCAUAGCCUGCAUUUGAAACUGUACUUCUUGAGUGCUGGAGAGGCAAUCGGAAUUCCGUGUGUAGCGGUGAAAUGCGUAGAUAUACGGAGGAACACCAGUGGCGAAGGCGGAUUGCUGGACUGUAACUGACGUUGAGGCUCGAAGGCGUGGGGAGCAAACAGGAUUAGAUACCCGUGUA
RNAcentral lists this ribosomal RNA (448 nucleotides) under uncultured bacterium. RNAcentral's name for it is "bacterial SSU rRNA". It matches the Rfam family "Bacterial small subunit ribosomal RNA", at positions 330 to 792 of the family's 1533-position model. The record is from RNAcentral.